This 433-nucleotide ribosomal RNA is filed under the name uncultured bacterium. RNAcentral's name for it is "bacterial SSU rRNA". It matches the Rfam family "Bacterial small subunit ribosomal RNA", at positions 28 to 505 of the family's 1533-position model. The record is from RNAcentral.
GAUGAACGCUGGCGACGUGGAUAAGGCAUGCAAGUCAAACGGCCCUUCGGGGCAGUGGCGAACGAGGCAGUAACACGUGGGUAUCUACCUUUAAGUCUGGAAUAACUCAUCGAAAGGUGAGCUAAUACUAGAUAGUCCCUUCGGGGUAAAGAUUUAUCGCUUAAAGAAGAGCCUGCGGAGUAUCAGCUUGUUGGUAAGGUAAAAGCUUACCAAGGCUAUGACGCUUAGGGGAGGUGAGAGCCUGACCCCCGCCGAUGGGACUGAGACACGGCCCAUACACCUACGGGUGGCCGCAGUCGAGAAUCUUCCGCAAUGGACGAAAGUCUGACGGAGCGACGUCGCGUGAUGGAUGAAGUCUUUAGGGAUGUAAACAUCUUUUAUGAGGGAGGAAUUUUAUUGACGUUACCUCAUGAAUAAGGGGUUGCUAAACUCG